Molecule: ribosomal RNA, 820 nt
Filed under: uncultured bacterium
Lineage: Bacteria
Description: bacterial SSU rRNA
Rfam family: Bacterial small subunit ribosomal RNA
Source: RNAcentral
AGUCGAGGGGUAUAGGUUUUCGGACCUAGAGACCGGCGCACGGGUGCGUAACGCGUAUGCAAUCUACCUUUUACAGAGGGAUAGCCCAGAGAAAUUUGGAUUAAUACCUCAUAGUAUUAUUGAAUGGCAUCAUUUAAUAAUUAAAGUCACAACGGUAAAAGAUGAGCAUGCGUCCCAUUAGCUUGUUGGUAAGGUAACGGCUUACCAAGGCAACGAUGGGUAGGGGUCCUGAGAGGGAGAUCCCCCACACUGGUACUGAGACACGGACCAGACUCCUACGGGAGGCAGCAGUGAGGAAUAUUGGUCAAUGGGCGCAAGCCUGAACCAGCCAUGCCGCGUGCAGGAUGAAGCAUCUAUGGUGUGUAAACUGCUUUUGUACGAGAAGAAACACUCCUACGUGUAGGAGCUUGACGGUAUCGUAAGAAUAAGGACCGGCUAACUCCGUGCCAGCAGCCGCGGUAAUACGGAGGGUCCAAGCGUUAUCCGGAAUCAUUGGGUUUAAAGGGUCCGUAGGCGGUUUUGUAAGUCAGUGGUGAAAGCCCAUCGCUCAACGGUGGAACGGCCAUUGAUACUGCAAGACUUGAAUUAUUGGGAAGUAACUAGAAUAUGUAGUGUAGCGGUGAAAUGCUUAGAGAUUACAUGGAAUACCAAUUGCGAAGGCAGGUUACUACCAAUAUAUUGACGCUGAUGGACGAAAGCGUGGGGAGCGAACAGGAUUAGAUACCCUGGUAGUCCACGCCGUAAACGAUGGAUACUAGCUGUUCGGAGCAAUCUGAGUGGCUAAGCGAAAGUGAUAAGUAUCCCACCUGGGGAGUACGUU